This 492-nucleotide ribosomal RNA is filed under the name uncultured bacterium. Its description in RNAcentral is "partial 16S ribosomal RNA". It matches the Rfam family "Bacterial small subunit ribosomal RNA", at positions 29 to 507 of the family's 1533-position model. The record is from RNAcentral.
AGUGAACGCUGGCGGUAGGCCUAACACAUGCAAGUCGAACGGCAGCACAGUAAGAGCUUGCUCUUACGGGUGGCGAGUGGCGGACGGGUGAGGAAUACAUCGGAAUCUCCUUUUUCGUGGGGGAUAACGUAGGGAAACUUACGCUAAUACCGCAUACGACCUACGGGUGAAAGCAGUGGAUCUUCGGACCUUGCGCGAUUGAAUGAGCCGAUGUCGGAUUAGCUAGUUGGCGGGGUAAAGGCCCACCAAGGCGACGAUCCGUAGCUGGUCUGAGAGGAUGAUCAGCCACACUGGAACUGGGACACGGUCCAGACUCCUACGGGAGGCAGCAGUGGGGAAUAUUGGACAAUGGGCGCAAGCCUGAUCCAGCCAUACCGCGUGGGUGAAGAAGGCCUUCGGGUUGUAAAGCCCUUUUGUUGGGAAAGAAAAGCAGCAGGUUAAUACCCCGCUGUUCUGACGGUACCCAAAGAAUAAGCACCGGCUAACUUCGUG